RNAcentral lists this ribosomal RNA (475 nucleotides) under uncultured bacterium. Its description in RNAcentral is "bacterial SSU rRNA". It matches the Rfam family "Bacterial small subunit ribosomal RNA", at positions 29 to 507 of the family's 1533-position model. The record is from RNAcentral.
AACUAACGCUGGCGGCGCGUCUUAAACAUGCAAGUCGAGCGGAAAGGCCCGCAAGGGUACUCGAGCGGCAAACGGGUGAGUAACACGUAGGUAAUUUUCCUCUCAGUGGGGGACAACCUGCCGAAAGGCAGGCUAAUACCGCAUAUUAUCCAGUUUUCUACGGAUUUCUGGAUGAAAGUAGUAAUACGCUGAGAGAUGAACCUGCGCCCAAUUAGCUUGUUGGCGGGGUAAUGGCCCACCAAGGCGACGAUUGGUAGCCGGCCUGAGAGGGUGUACGGCCACACUGGGACUGAGACACGGCCCAGACUCCUACGGGAGGCAGCAGUUAAGAAUCUUGCGCAAUGGGCGCAAGCCUGACGCAGCGACGCCGCGUGGGGGAUGAAGGUCUUCGGAUUGUAAACCCCUUUCGGGAGGGAAGAUGGAACGAGCAAUCGUUCGGACGGUACCUCCAGAAGCAGCCACGGCCAACUUCGUG